AACGAACGCUGGCGGCAGGCCUAACACAUGCAAGUCGAGCGAGGACUUCGGUCCUAGCGGCGGACGGGUGAGUAACGCGUGGGAACGUGCCCUUUGCUUCGGAAUAGCCCUGGGAAACUGGGAGUAAUACCGGAUGAGCCCUUUGGGGGAAAGAUUUAUCGGCGAAGGAUCGGCCCGCGUUGGAUUAGGUAGUUGGUGGGGUAAUGGCCUACCAAGCCGACGAUCCAUAGCUGGUUUGAGAGGAUGAUCAGCCACACUGGGUCUGAGACACGGCCCAGACUCCUACGGGAGGCAGCAGUGGGGAAUCUUAGACAAUGGGGGAAACCCUGAUCUAGCCAUGCCGCGUGAGCGAUGAAGGCCUUAGGGUUGUAAAGCUCUUUCAGCUGGGAAGAUAAUGACGGUACCAGCAGAAGAAGCCCCGGCUAACUCCGUG
Molecule: ribosomal RNA, 433 nt
Filed under: uncultured bacterium
Lineage: Bacteria
Description: partial 16S ribosomal RNA
Rfam family: Bacterial small subunit ribosomal RNA
Source: RNAcentral